CAGUAGCCGCGGUAAUACGUAGGGUGCAAGCGUUAAUCGGAAUUACUGGGCGUAAAGCGUGCGCAGGCGGUUAUAUAAGACAGAUGUGAAAUCCCCGGGCUCAACCUGGGAACUGCAUUUGUGACUGUAUAGCUAGAGUACGGCAGAGGGGGAUGGAAUUUCGCGUGUAGCAGUGAAAUGCGUAGAUAUGCGGAGGAACACCGAUGGCGAAGGCAAUCCCCUGGGCCUGUACUGACGCUCAUGCACGAAAGCGUGGGGAGCAAACAGGAUUAGAGACCCCUGUAGUCCCUGUCUCUUAUAC
RNAcentral lists this ribosomal RNA (301 nucleotides) under uncultured bacterium. Its description in RNAcentral is "partial 16S ribosomal RNA". It matches the Rfam family "Bacterial small subunit ribosomal RNA", at positions 509 to 807 of the family's 1533-position model. The record is from RNAcentral.